RNAcentral lists this ribosomal RNA (292 nucleotides) under uncultured bacterium. Its description in RNAcentral is "partial 16S ribosomal RNA". It matches the Rfam family "Bacterial small subunit ribosomal RNA", at positions 505 to 796 of the family's 1533-position model. The record is from RNAcentral.
GUGCCAGCAGCCGCGGUAAUACAGAGGUCUCAAGCGUUGUUCGGAUUCAUUGGGCGUAAAGGGCGCGUAGGCGGCGAGGUAAGUCGGGUGUGAAAUCUCAGAGCUCAACUCUGAAACUGCACUCGAUACUGCUUUGCUAGAGGACUGGAGAGGAGAUUGGAAUUCACGGUGUAGCAGUGAAAUGCGUAGAGAUCGUGAGGAAGACCAGUGGCGAAGGCGGAUCUCUGGACAGUUCCUGACGCUGAGGCGCGAAGGCCAGGGGAGCAAACGGGAUUAGAUACCCCCGUAGUCC